Molecule: long non-coding RNA, 259 nt
Organism: Marmota monax (woodchuck)
Lineage: Eukaryota; Metazoa; Chordata; Mammalia; Rodentia; Sciuridae
Exons: 3
Source: RefSeq, a predicted model, not a curated record
CACACAACCAGCCUGCCAUCUAUUUGAGUACAGUUAGAAAAGGAACUAGAACAUUUGCAUUGGCACAGAAUCUCCCACAUGCAAGCCCCAUUAUAAUCAGAAGAUGAUUCUCAGAGCACCAUCUAUUUUAGCUCAAUUUUCUGUUGCUAAAAACAAAACACCACGAACUGGACACAGAAGCCAGGUGCUGAAAGCUGACCGGGUGCCAAGUCUCAGGACUGUCCCAGCCUUCCACCUCAGCUCUGCAGCCGGGCCUUCU